UGCAGCCAAUUGUAUUGAUAUAAUGCAUGGUUUCUUGAUAGGAAAUGAGGGAGGGGCUACCUGCACAAGCUAAACUUUUUGCUCUGCUGCAUUUGUUGUUUGCCUAUGAUAAAUUUUAUUUUUUAAAGGAUUGGCAGAAUUCAAUCAAGCACUGGGUUGAUGCUGAGUGAAGUAGUCUUCCCACAAGGGUGAGGACACUGGGGAUGAGGAGGUUCUCCUUGACCAUGUCAGAGCUCAAAUGAGUUGGGCUCUACAAGCCCAACAAGACCUGAUUGAAAUCCAACUCUAGUAGAUGAGAUCUGAGUGGACCAUUUUGGAGUGCAGACUCAUAAAUUGGUCAUUAGUUUGCGUUGUGGGGGUGAACUACAGCCUGCUUUGGUUUGUUUAUAUUUACUUUUGGUGGCUGUAAAUAAAUGCUCCAGUUUAGAAUUGUCCAAUUGCCUGUCUCUUUGUAAUGUUCCACUACUGGACAAUGAUCAAAUGCAGUUCUGUAGUAGGCAUUGGGGACAGAGUGGUGGUGCCAUUUAGGUUGGAUGAAGCUACAGAAGAUAAAUGGUGUGGCAUUAUGGUUAAACAAUUACAAAGAUGAAAAUAGUGUCAUAUGGAGUGUCAGCCAUUUCCUGUCAGCUGCCAUUGGCAAUGUGCAGUGUUGCUUUGUGGCUGCUCUGUCAUUACAUUAAUGGUGAGGGACAACCAGGGAAUACCAACACUUGUCAGGUUGCACAUCAGCUUUUCAAAGCUGCACAGGCAGAAAGGAUGCUGGUCUAUGGGGAUAUCUGAUGAGUGGAGAGUUGUUCCGGGAAUGGGAUGAAUCAGACCAAUUUAUCUAUCAUUUGGAGCAGUUUUGGGCACCUAAGGAAGGAUUUAAGACAGAAGGAUAGGUUCUUAUUUAGUAAGGGGAUCAAGGGUUAUGGGGAGAAAGCAGGAGAAUGGGUUGAGACACACAUUAGCCAUGAUCAAACGGCAGAACAGAGUCAAUAGGCUGAAUUUUACUCCUACAUUUUUUCAUAUUCCAGUAAAUUUCAUGAGCAUCUGAAUACUGGAAGUAAUUCAACUAAAUUCUACACAGUGUUUCUUCAAACAAGGUAUUGUGCUUGCAACAAUUUGUAGACUUGAUGGGUGGAAGGGCCUUCAGUCUGCCGUAUGACACUAUGACUUUAUAAAAGUGCAAUCUUCACACAGUUUAUUUAGCCUUGCUUGCUGUUGUCGUGCAAUUUCAAUUUUAAUGUUAGCAAAGUAUGUUUGUGCCAUGUUUGUGUACUGUACUUUGGUAAGACCUUCCAUGAAGAAAACAUGAUUUUUUUUUUACUUUGCAGUCUUUCAAUGAAAUGGAACACUGUUUUCUUAGUCGUGGUCCUCUAUUUGUCCGUGAAACUUCUUAAUGCUGUCAUUCUUUUUGUCGUCCUACUGAAUAAACACAGAGGUAAUGGUGCAACAGCAAAAAGUGUUGAGAAAAUAUCAGGAACAGAACAUGAUUCUCAGACUGCUUGAAUAUUGAUGGCAUCUAAAAGGAUCUGCCAGUUUUAGGAGUUUCGAACCAUAUCUGCAGGCUUCUGACAUCAAAUUGUAAUAGCUUGCUGAUAAUCUGCAUGAAAGAGUUUACGUUCCAGACAGAGUGAACCAGAAGAGGAGAUGUGGAAGUUCCCACUGAACUAAUUACAAAUAUUUCUAUCUCUUAUGUAAACAACCAAGAUUGGGUAUGACUUGUUUUUGAAAUGUGAUGUAAUGUAUAGAUAUGAGAAAGCCAAUUGACCUGACAAAUAAGGGAACAACAAAUUUGACAUUAAGACGCUGGUGGCAGUAAGUAAAAAGGAUUUUGCUAAUUGCUGUGUAUCAAAAAAAUUACUAACAAAAGCUGUUGUCACAACAGUACUUUGGAUUUGGUGUCAUUUUAAUGUAAUAAAAUGGAUCCAGGCACAAAGAAUGGGAUAUUUCAGGAAAUUAAAAAGUCAGGUUAGUGUUUUUUGGGAGCAUAUAAUAUAAGGAUGUUGGCUAACCCACCACCUUCCCAUCAACCCUGAGUUCACCUGCAUGAUACAGAAGGUGGUUUGAUGCCAAAAUUGGCAACCCACCCAACACACGUAACUAAGUAAUUAACUAUUAAUGAACAACUGAGGUUGUUAAAUGCACAAUUGAUCCCGAUUUUAUGCUUUCAACACUGAAAAUAAAUUAAAUAAAUUUAAUUCUAAACAUGUGGUUCUGCAAAAUUGGCUUUUGGACAUCCAGGAGAUGCAAUAUCUUAAGUGGCUUUAUUAUUGUUAGAGAAAAAAGAGCAGAGUAAGUAAGACACAGAGCUUUAUAUAGCCUUAAUUCUUCUCUCUUUCUAUGUCUGUGGAAAUGUUCAAACAUUUGUAAGUUGUUGAAAUAUAAUCAAAUAUCAAAAUAUAAUCAAAUCCUUUUACUAUUAUUCAGUGUUAUAUUUUGCUAGAUUGCAGAAUACUAUCAAGC
Molecule: long non-coding RNA, 2448 nt
Organism: Chiloscyllium plagiosum (whitespotted bambooshark)
Lineage: Eukaryota; Metazoa; Chordata; Chondrichthyes; Orectolobiformes; Hemiscylliidae
Source: RefSeq, a predicted model, not a curated record